UGGCAUACGACCGACCUUCAACGUUGAAAUAUGGUUGAAAUAAUGUCAGUUGUUGUUUCAACAUUGAAACAACGUUGAUAUAACGUUUAAUGCUAAACGGUUGAAAAAUGUUAAGAAAACACUUCUAAAUCAACGUUGAAAUUUGUACAAGAUCUGUACGUUAGAACAACGUAAUGUUUUCAACCACAUACAACAGAAAUCUGCCUUAUAAAGUUUAUGAUCAUUAUUAGCAUUUAAUGAUAUUCUGAUAAUACAGCCUUGGCUAUGUUAAAAUAUAAUUAUUAUCAUUAUAGACAACUCUCCAAUAAUUUCAACCUCAAGAGUGCAGCAGAAACUUUUUGCUUUGUGAUUUUGUGUGGAUUUACAAUACUGUGUGCUUACCUAACAGUUUACCAUGCUUUAUUAUUUUUUUUUUAAAUCAUACACUGUCAUGAAAACACCAUUUGACAAAUUAAUUAAAUAAAUACAGACUGCAAACUAAAUAUUCUAUACACAUUUCGCUACGUUACCACGCUGAAACUACUGUUAUUGGUUGUUUCACCGGUUUACUUUGACCCUGAUUGGUUAAUCUUUCUGUCUUCCAGGAAACUGGCCAAUGACAAAAUGCGCGCCUAUUUUAAGUUUGAAAAUACGUCCGUUAUUGUUUGAGUCGGUAUGAGGUGAGCAUCUGCUCUGCUGAUUAUUACCCCGUCGGACACGGAUUAUUUUAAAAAUUCUUGUUAAAUUCUUAUUUUGAGCGAAUUUGAGUUGUGAUAUGUCAAUGAAGGACAAAAGCUGGAAUGUGAACAGAGGAUGGGGUCGUAAUGUUACGUGGUCUGUAAAAAUACUGGCGAAAUCACUAAAGGUUAAGCAUUGGAAUAUGAUUUUUUCGGGGGGAGAACACCCAAAUAGAGACAAAUCCACCAACUACAUGAAAGGUCAUGUCACCUACCUUCAUCAGUCCUGUCUUUAAUUCACUGGAAAACAUUAAGGGAAAGACCCUCAGACAUGUCAUAACAGGAUAAAGGCUGCAGACUCACCAAGGAUCCAUAUGAUUACUGGCAAUUUGGUGGAGGAUUUUUCUUUAGCUGCUAUCACUUCUGGAUCGUACAGAGAGCAGACAAGAAGUGAAGAGGGAGCAAGAGGAAGCGAUGGCAUCGGAGCAGACCUCAAGCUGGGACUCUACUAGAGCAAUGCAAAAGGCUGUCGCAUUUUAUUGAGAUGCUAAGUUUUUCUACUGUUACUGUACACUUAAAAUAUUAAAUGUAUUUCAUCUAAGUUUUACUGUAAUUGAACAAAAACUGUCUUUUAAGUAUUCCAUUCAGAUUUGUACUUUACUUAUUACUUUGAAAACACUGCAAGUUAAAGUUUUCAGAUGUAGAAAGUAUUUUUAGACUUUUUUGUUUUGUUUUCCAAAAUAAAACUUGUUUUACAAUCUUGA
Pimephales promelas (fathead minnow) is the source of this 1420-nucleotide long non-coding RNA. RefSeq lists it as uncharacterized. The record is from RefSeq and is a predicted model, not a curated record. NCBI's taxonomy places the organism in Eukaryota, Metazoa, Chordata, Actinopteri, Cypriniformes, Leuciscidae.